Small nuclear RNA from Otolemur garnettii (small-eared galago), 107 nucleotides. Lineage: Eukaryota; Metazoa; Chordata; Mammalia; Primates; Galagidae. The record is from Ensembl.
GUGCUCACUUUGGCAGCCCAUAUACUAAAAUUGGAACAAUACGGAGAAGAUCAGCAUGGCCCCUAUGCAAGGAAAACAUGCAAAUUCAUGGAGUGUUCCAUAUUUUU